This 245-nucleotide ribosomal RNA is filed under the name uncultured bacterium. RNAcentral describes it as "partial 16S ribosomal RNA". It matches the Rfam family "Bacterial small subunit ribosomal RNA", at positions 524 to 768 of the family's 1533-position model. The record is from RNAcentral.
UACGGAGGGUGCGAGCGUUGUCCGGAAUCACUGGGCGUAAAGGGUGCGUAGGCGGCUGGAUAAGUCACGUGUGAAAGCCCGGGGCUCAACCCCGGUACUGCAUGUGGGACUGUCCGGCUCGAGCACGGUAGAGGCGAGUGGAAUUCCUGGUGUAGCGGUGGAAUGCGUAGAGAUCAGGAAGAACACCGGUGGCGAAGGCGGCUCGCUGGGCCGUUGCUGACGCUGAGGCACGAAAGCGUGGGGAG